GACGAACGCUGGCGGCGUGCUUAACACAUGCAAGUCGAACGGAAAGGCCCUGCUUUUGUGGGGUGCUCGAGUGGCGAACGGGUGAGUAACACGUGAGUAGCCUGCCCUUGACUUUGGGAUAACUUCAGGAAACUGGGGCUAAUACCGGAUAGGAGCUCCUGCUGCAUGGUGGGGGUUGGAAAGUUUCGGCGGUUGGGGAUGGACUCGCGGCUUAUCAGCUUGUUGGUGGGGUAGUGGCUUACCAAGGCUUUGACGGGUAGCCGGCCUGAGAGGGUGACCGGCCACAUUGGGACUGAGAUACGGCCCAGACUCCUACGGGAGGCAGCAGUGGGGAAUAUUGCACAAUGGGCGGAAGCCUGAUGCAGCAACGCCGCGUGCGGGAUGACGGCCUUCGGGUUGUAAACCGCUUUCGCCUGUGACGAAGCGUGAGUGACGGUAAUGGGUAAAGAAGCACCGGCUAACUACG
This 466-nucleotide ribosomal RNA is filed under the name uncultured bacterium. RNAcentral describes it as "partial 16S ribosomal RNA". It matches the Rfam family "Bacterial small subunit ribosomal RNA", at positions 28 to 505 of the family's 1533-position model. The record is from RNAcentral.